AAAAUUAAAUGCCUCCGAAUCAAUGUAUCUAAGGGCAUAUUGCCUAUGAGCAUUGAUCGAUAGGGUCUUUUUGGAAACGAAAAGGCCUCCCGUCUGGAAAGGAGGAAGAGCUUUAAAACC
Molecule: non-coding RNA, 120 nt
Filed under: Acetomicrobium mobile
Lineage: Bacteria; Thermotogati; Synergistota; Synergistia; Synergistales; Acetomicrobiaceae
Also listed under: 1 other name
Description: MoCo sequence
Rfam family: Molybdenum/Tungsten riboswitch aptamer (Moco RNA motif)
Source: RNAcentral